RNAcentral lists this ribosomal RNA (488 nucleotides) under uncultured bacterium. RNAcentral describes it as "partial 16S ribosomal RNA". It matches the Rfam family "Bacterial small subunit ribosomal RNA", at positions 30 to 507 of the family's 1533-position model. The record is from RNAcentral.
AUUGAACGCUGGCGGCAUGCUUUACACAUGCAAGUCGAACGGCAGCACAGGGAGCUUGCUCCUGGGUGGCGAGUGGCGAACGGGUGAGUAAUGUAUCGGAACGUGCCUGGUAGUGGGGGAUAACUACUCGAAAGAGUGGCUAACACCGCAUGAGAUCUUUGGAUGAAAGCGGGGGACCUUCGGGCCUCGUGCUACUGGAGCGGCCGAUAUCAGAUUAGGUUGUUGGUGGGGUAAAGGCCUACCAAGCCUGCGAUCUGUAGCUGGUCUGAGAGGACGACCAGCCACACUGGGACUGAGACACGGCCCAGACUCCUACGGGAGGCAGCAGUGGGGAAUUUUGGACAAUGGGCGCAAGCCUGAUCCAGCAAUGCCGCGUGCAGGACGAAGGCCUUCGGGUUGUAAACUGCUUUUGUACAGAACGAAAAGUCUCUGGCUAAUAUCUAGAGAUCAUGACGGUACUGUAAGAAUAAGCACCGGCUAACUACGUG